Molecule: ribosomal RNA, 383 nt
Filed under: uncultured bacterium
Lineage: Bacteria
Description: bacterial SSU rRNA
Rfam family: Bacterial small subunit ribosomal RNA
Source: RNAcentral
AUUGAACGCUGGCGGCAUGCCUUACACAUGCAAGUCGAACGGCAGCGGGCCUUCGGGUGCCGGCGAGUGGCGAACGGGUGAGUAAUGCAUCGGAACGUGCCAUUGAGUGGGGGGAUAACGUAGCGAAAGUUACGCUAAUACCGCAUAUUCUGUGAGCAGGAAAGCAGGGGACCGCAAGGCCUUGCGCUCUUUGAGCGGCCGAUGUCAGAUUAGCUAGUUGGUGAGGUAAAGGCUUACCAAGGCGACGAUCUGUAGCGGGUCUGAGAGGAUGAUCCGCCACACUGGAACUGAGACACGGUCCAGACUCCUACGGGAGGCAGCAGUGGGGAAUUUUGGACAAUGGGCGCAAGCCUGAUCCAGCCAUGCCGCGUGAGUGAAGAAGG